AUACGUAGGGGGCGAGCGUUGUCCGGAAUGACUGGGCGUAAAGGGCGUGUAGGCGGCGGUGUAAGUCUGGAGUGAAAGUCCCGCAUUCAAUGUGGGAAUUGCUUUGGAUACUGCAGUGCUAGAGUGCGGAAGAGGUAAGUGGAAUUCCCAGUGUAGCGGUGAAAUGCGUAGAGAUUGGGAGGAACACCAGUGGCGAAGGCGACUUACUGGGCCGUAACUGACGCUGAGGCGCGAAAGCGUGGGGAGCGAACAGGAUUAGAUACCCUGGUAGUCCACACUGUAAACGAUGAAUGCUAGGUGUAAGAGGUAUCGACCCCUUUUGUGCCGGAGUCAACACAAUAAGCAUUCCGCCUGGGGAGUACGGCCGCAAGGUUGAAACUCAAAUGAAUUGGCGGGG
RNAcentral lists this ribosomal RNA (397 nucleotides) under uncultured bacterium. Its description in RNAcentral is "partial 16S ribosomal RNA". It matches the Rfam family "Bacterial small subunit ribosomal RNA", at positions 523 to 918 of the family's 1533-position model. The record is from RNAcentral.